CUACCAUUAACAUCCUCGAUUUUUAAUGUAAAAAUUGAAUGCAUCAUGCUGAGUUUUAUUCAUAAUCUUUUAUUUAAUAAAAAAAUCCUUUUAAAAGCUUUUACCUUAAAAAGAGAAAAGAGGGUUUGAAUUGAAUUAUAUAGUUCAAGUAUCUCCCUUUCAAUCGUAUUACCAAACCUGCCUGGUGGUAUUGCAAAAAUAUCAAUUCUAUUCAUCCAUCUCAAGUUCUGAAUUUCUUUUAUAAAAUCCAAACUCCUUCUAAUUUAGGUGUUAUUCUAAAUCCUUUGCAAAUUCAAAUAUUUUCUGAACUAGUUCUAUGAGUGCACUCUUAAGUACCUCAAAUAGGUUUAGAAACCUUUUUCUACCCUUAACCUAUCCAAUCUUGGAUAUAACCACUAUUUUCCCAACUAGUUUUUGUCAAAAACGAGAAAGAGUACCUGAGUGGCCCAAAUUUUGAUCCAAAACCUUUUUUUAACUAAAUUUAAUCUCUAGAGACCUAAAUCAGCUUGUUCAAGUCCUCCUUUGCUCCCUAAACCGGCGAAGGAUUUUGUGGGCCACGGUGCGCCGUGUCGUGCCCACACCACGCCAACGCGCAUCGACACCCUCCUCCAUCACGCGCGUGCAACCACAAUGGCGCAACAUCCAUCUAUCCACCGCGCCUUGGAUACCCUACUUUCUAAGCACUAAUCUUCCCGCGAUGGAACCGGCAAGCCAAUCGCGGAGCGAUCUCAUGUGCGUGCCGUGCCCGCCACUCCUCCUCCGCUGGCCGCCAUCCUUCGACAUGGAGACAUCCCAGCGAGAAGCCCAACCAAACCAUCACCUUUCAGAGCUCAAAGAAACAUAACUUUUCCCUCUCACAUCCCCAAACAUGGCGCCGAUGAGCCGGCCGUUUUCCUCAAUGCCGCCAUUGCACGUCACACUAGGAGAGCGCCACCUCGCCGCCGCCUCCUAGGCCGUGAUUUAAAUCCCUUCCGCCACCACUUAAAAUAGAUCAUUCGUCAUCCAAUUUCACCUUCUCCUCCCUCUCUCAGCCCUCUGUUCCUAAUGGCACUAAACUCAUCCACGGCACUAAUGGCAGCCGAGUGCCGUUAUCCACCAACCAUCACCACACCAUCACACCAAAGCUCUACAUCUCCAUACAUUGCUAAGGUUGCUGUGGAGCACUGGUCUUAGUGUGCGAUCACGCUGCCGCCGCUCCAAUCCUUUCCCAGCCCCGAGAACAAGUUGAACAUCGCUUACAUGCUCUGUUUUGAUCCUUCAUCGCUACCAACUUGCUCUGUUUCGGAGUUCGAGUGCUGCCACCAGUUGCAUUUCAUUCUCCGACCAAAUCCCGAUGUGAGUCAAGAGGAGGACCCUUAUGACUACUAAAGAUUUCUACUUCCCUAGUCAAAAUAAAGUAGAACCUCAUCCAUCAUGGUUUGUAUCAAAUAUUAUCUAGCUAAAACUCUCUAUGUAAUAUUAUACCUCUUGUAAUUUGUACAUGUGUAAUGAACAUCCGGUUGUAAUAUCUGUAUCAAUGUUAAUGAUCCAGGGUUGAUAUA
Long non-coding RNA from Oryza sativa Japonica Group (Japanese rice), 1541 nucleotides. RefSeq lists it as uncharacterized. Lineage: Eukaryota; Viridiplantae; Streptophyta; Magnoliopsida; Poales; Poaceae. The record is from RefSeq and is a predicted model, not a curated record.